RNAcentral lists this ribosomal RNA (494 nucleotides) under uncultured bacterium. Its description in RNAcentral is "bacterial SSU rRNA". It matches the Rfam family "Bacterial small subunit ribosomal RNA", at positions 791 to 1284 of the family's 1533-position model. The record is from RNAcentral.
UAGUCCACGCCGUAAACGAUGAGAACUAGAUGUUGGGAGGAAUAGCCUUUCGGUGUCGCAGCUAACGCAUUAAGUUCUCCGCCUGGGGAGUACGCCGGCAACGGUAAAACUCAAAGGAAUUGACGGGGACCCGCACAAGCGGUGGAGCAUGUGGUUUAAUUCGAUGCAACGCGAAGAACCUUACCUGCCCUUGACAUACAGAGAACUUUCCAGAGAUGGAUUGGUGCCUUCGGGAACUCUGAUACAGGUGCUGCAUGGCUGUCGUCAGCUCGUGUCGUGAUAUGUUGGGUUAAGUCCCGCAACGAGCGCAACCCCUAUCUAUAGUUGCCAGCACGUAAUGGUGGGAACUCUAUAGAGACUGCCGGUGAUAAGCCGGAGGAAGGUGGGGACGACGUCAAGUCAUCAUGGCCCUUACGGGAUGGGCUACACACGUGCUACAAUGGUGCAUACAGAGGGUUGCCAACCAGCGAUGGGGAGCUAAUCUCAGAAAGUGC